This 453-nucleotide ribosomal RNA is filed under the name uncultured bacterium. RNAcentral describes it as "partial 16S ribosomal RNA". It matches the Rfam family "Bacterial small subunit ribosomal RNA", at positions 28 to 523 of the family's 1533-position model. The record is from RNAcentral.
GACGAACGCUGGUGGUGUGCUUCACACAUGCAAGUCGAACGAGGUAGCAAUACCUAGUGGCGGACGGGUGAGUAACGCGUGGGAAUCUGCCUUUAGAUGGGGGAUAACGGGCCGAAAGGUCCGCUAAUACCGCAUAUGCCGCAAGGUGAAAGGAGUAAUCCGUCUAAAGAUGAGCCCGCGUCCGAUUAGCUAGUUGGUAGAGUAAGAGCCUACCAAGGCGACGAUCGGUAGCUGGUCUGAGAGGAUGAUCAGCCACAAUGGGACUGAGACACGGCCCAUACUCCUACGGGAGGCAGCAGUGGGGAAUGUUACGGAAUGGGGGAAACCCUGACGUAGCGACACCGCGUGAGCGAAGAAGCCCGUUGGGGUGUAAAGCUCUGUCAGCUGGAACGAAAACAAUGACGGUACCAGCAGAGGAAGCAUCGGCUAACUACGUGCCAGCCGCCGCCGUAA